This is a microRNA precursor of Anolis carolinensis (green anole), 78 nucleotides long. It matches the Rfam family "mir-34 microRNA precursor family". Rfam says of the family: Human mir-34a was discovered computationally and later experimentally verified. The mature sequence is excised from the 5' arm of the hairpin. Lineage: Eukaryota; Metazoa; Chordata; Lepidosauria; Squamata; Anolidae. The record is from Rfam.
GUUUCUUUGGCAGUGUCUUAGCUGGUUGUUGUGCGCAGUGAUUGAGGAAGCAAUCAGCAAGAAUACUGCCCCAGAAGU